This 395-nucleotide ribosomal RNA is filed under the name uncultured bacterium. Its description in RNAcentral is "partial 16S ribosomal RNA". It matches the Rfam family "Bacterial small subunit ribosomal RNA", at positions 523 to 918 of the family's 1533-position model. The record is from RNAcentral.
AUACGUAGGGGGCAAGCGUUAUCCGGAAUUACUGGGCGUAAAGGGUGCGUAGGUGGUCUGCCAAGUUAGGGGUCAAAGGCAACGGCUCGACCGUUGUUCGCCCCUAAAACUGGCGGACUUGAGUUCUGGAGGGGAAAUCGGAAUUCCUAGUGUAGCGGUGAAAUGCGUAGAUAUUAGGAGGAACACCAGUGGCGAAGGCGGAUUUCUGGACAGAUACUGACACUGAGGCACGAAAGCGUGGGGAGCAAACAGGAUUAGAUACCCUGGUAGUCCACGCUGUAAACGAUGAAUACUAGGUGUGGGGGGACUGACCCCCUCCGUGCCGCAGUUAACACAAUAAGUAUUCCACCUGGGGAGUACGAUCGCAAGAUUGAAACUCAAAGGAAUUGGCGGGG